GACGAACGCUGGCGGCGUGCUUAACACAUGCAAGUCGAACGGAAAGGCCCUGCUUUUGUGGGGUGCUCGAGUGGCGAACGGGUGAGUAACACGUGAGUAACCUGCCCUUGACUUUGGGAUAACUUCAGGAAACUGGGGCUAAUACCGGAUAGGAGCUCCUGCUGCAUGGUGGGGGUUGGAAAGUUUCGGCGGUUGGGGAUGGACUCGCGGCUUAUCAGCUUGUUGGUGGGGUAGUGGCUUACCAAGGCUUUGACGGGUAGCCGGCCUGAGAGGGUGACCGGCCACAUUGGGACUGAGAUACGGCCCAGACUCCUACGGGAGCCAGCAGUGGGGAAGAUUGCACAAUGGGCGGAAGCCUGCUGCAGCAACGCCGCGGGCGGGAUGACGGCCUUCGGGGUGUAAACCGCUUUCGCCUGUGACGAAGCAGGAGUGAAGGUAAUGGGUAAAGAAGCACCGGCUAACUACGUG
RNAcentral lists this ribosomal RNA (468 nucleotides) under uncultured bacterium. Its description in RNAcentral is "partial 16S ribosomal RNA". It matches the Rfam family "Bacterial small subunit ribosomal RNA", at positions 28 to 507 of the family's 1533-position model. The record is from RNAcentral.